Molecule: ribosomal RNA, 468 nt
Filed under: uncultured bacterium
Lineage: Bacteria
Description: partial 16S ribosomal RNA
Rfam family: Bacterial small subunit ribosomal RNA
Source: RNAcentral
GAUGAACGCUGGCGGCGUGCUUAACACAUGCAAGUCGAACGGAAAGGCCGAAGCUUGCUUCGGUACUCGAGUGGCGAACGGGUGAGUAACACGUGGGUGAUCUGCCCUGUACUUCGGGAUAAGCUUGGGAAACUGGGUCUAAUACCGGAUAUGACGAUCUCUUGGAUGGGGUUGUGGAAAGCUUUUGCGGUAUGGGAUGAGCUCGCGGCCUAUCAGCUUGUUGGUGGGGUAAUGGCCUACCAAGGCGUCGACGGGUAGCCGGCCUGAGAGGGUGUACGGCCACAUUGGGACUGAGAUACGGCCCAGACUCCUACGGGAGGCAGCAAUGGGGAAUAUUGCACAAUGGGCGCAAGCCUGAUGCAGCGACGCCGCGUGGGGGAUGACGGCCUUCGGGUUGAAAACUCCUGUCGCAAUCGACGAAGCCUUUUGGUGACGGUAGGUUGAGAAGAAGCACCGGCUAACUACGUG